Molecule: ribosomal RNA, 229 nt
Filed under: Oenococcus oeni
Lineage: Bacteria; Bacillati; Bacillota; Bacilli; Lactobacillales; Lactobacillaceae
Description: partial 16S ribosomal RNA
Rfam family: Bacterial small subunit ribosomal RNA
Source: RNAcentral
UUUAAAUUGAGAGUUUGAUCCUGGCUCAGGAUGAACGCUGGUGGCGUGCCUAAUACAUGCAAGUCGUACGCUAGCCGCUGAAUUGAUCCUUCGGGUGAAGUGAGGCAAUGACUAGAGUGGCGAACUGGUGAGUAACACGUAAGAAACCUGCMCUUUAGUGGGGGAUAACAUUUGGAAACAGAUGCUAAUACCGCGUAACAACAAAUCACACAUGUGAUCUGUUUGAAAG